This 253-nucleotide ribosomal RNA is filed under the name uncultured bacterium. Its description in RNAcentral is "partial 16S ribosomal RNA". It matches the Rfam family "Bacterial small subunit ribosomal RNA", at positions 524 to 776 of the family's 1533-position model. The record is from RNAcentral.
GACGAGGGAUCCUAGCGUUGUUCGGAAUCACUGGGCGUAAAGCGUUUGUAGGCGGCUCUAUAAGUCGGGUGUGAAAUCCCACGGCUCAACCGUGGAAGUGCACUCGAAACUGCAGAGCUUGAAUAUGGUAGAGGAGAGUAGAAUUCCUGGUGUAGUGGUGAAAUACGUAGAUAUCAGGAGGAAUACCGGUGGCGAAGGCGGCUCUCUGGACCAAUAUUGACGCUGAGAAACGAAAGUGCGGGGAUCAAACAGG